RNAcentral lists this ribosomal RNA (271 nucleotides) under uncultured archaeon. RNAcentral describes it as "partial 16S ribosomal RNA". It matches the Rfam family "Archaeal small subunit ribosomal RNA", at positions 477 to 747 of the family's 1478-position model. The record is from RNAcentral.
CAGCGCCACGAGUGGCAAUCGCGUUUAUUGGGCCUAAAGCGUUCGUAGCCGGUUUAGCAAAUCUUUUGUGAAAGCGUCAAGCUUAACUUGACGAGUGGCAGAAGACACUACUAAACUAGGGACCGGGAGGAGUCAGAAGUAUUCCGGGGGGACCGGUAAAAUGGUAUAAUCCCCGGAGGACUACCGAUGGCGAAGGCAUCUGACCAGAACGGAUCCGACGGUGAGGAACGAAAGCUAGGGGAGCAAACCGGAUUAGAUACCCGAGUAGUCC